Molecule: ribosomal RNA, 498 nt
Filed under: uncultured bacterium
Lineage: Bacteria
Description: partial 16S ribosomal RNA
Rfam family: Bacterial small subunit ribosomal RNA
Source: RNAcentral
AUUGAACGCUGGCGGCAUGCCUUACUCAUGCAAGUCGAACGGUAACAGGUCCUCGGAUGCUGACGAGUGGCGAACGGGUGAGUAAUACAUCGGAACGUGCCCGAUCGUGGGGGAUAACGAAGCGAAAGCUUUGCUAAUACCGCAUAAGAUCUACGGAUGAAAGCAGGGGACCGCAAGGCCUUGCGCGAACGGAGCGGCCGAUGGCAGAUUAGGUAGUUGGUGGGAUAAAAGCUUACCAAGCCGACGAUCUGUAGCUGGGCUGAGAGGAGGACCAGCCACACUGGGACUGGGACACGGCCCAGACUCCUACGGGAGGCAGCAGUGGGGAAUUUUGGACAAUGGGCGAAAGCCUGAUCCAGCCAUGCCGCGUGCAGGAUGAAGGCCUUCGGGUUGUAAACUGCUUUUGUACGGAACGAAAAGACUCUUUCUAAUAAAGAGGGUCCAUGACGGUACCGUAAGAAUAAGCACCGGCUAACUACGUGCCAGCAGCCGCAGUAA